This 448-nucleotide ribosomal RNA is filed under the name Clostridioides difficile. Its description in RNAcentral is "partial 23S ribosomal RNA". It matches the Rfam family "Bacterial large subunit ribosomal RNA", at positions 2475 to 2925 of the family's 2925-position model. Lineage: Bacteria; Bacillati; Bacillota; Clostridia; Peptostreptococcales; Peptostreptococcaceae. The record is from RNAcentral.
UAACAGGCUUAUCUCCCCCAAGAGUCCACAUCGACGGGGAGGUUUGGCACCUCGAUGUCGGCUCAUCACAUCCUGGGGCUGUAGUAGGUCCCAAGGGUUGGGCUGUUCGCCCAUUAAAGUGGCACGCGAGCUGGGUUCAGAACGUCGUGAGACAGUUCGGUCCCUAUCCGUCGCAGGCGUAGGAAAUUUGAGAAGACCUGUCCUUAGUACGAGAGGACCGGGAUGGACGUACCUCUGGUGUACCAGUUGUUCUGCCAAGGGCAUGGCUGGGUAGCUAUGUACGGAAUGGAUAAGCGCUGAAAGCAUCUAAGCGCGAAGCCAACUUUAAGAUAAGAUUUCCCACCGCAAGGGUAAGACCCCAGAAAGACUAUCUGGUUGAUAGGUCGAAGGUGUAAGUGCAGCAAUGUAUUUAGCUUAUCGAUACUAAUAGGUCGAGGACUUGACCAAU